UAGCUUUAGCGAUGGAUCGGUUGAUUCGCGUAUCGAUGAAAAACGCAGCAAGCUGCGUUAUUUACCACGAAUUGCAGACGCUUAGAGUGGUGAAGUUUUGAACGC
Heterorhabditis bacteriophora is the source of this 105-nucleotide non-coding RNA. The record is from Rfam. NCBI's taxonomy places the organism in Eukaryota, Metazoa, Nematoda, Chromadorea, Rhabditida, Heterorhabditidae.